RNAcentral lists this transfer RNA (72 nucleotides) under Caudoviricetes sp. RNAcentral's name for it is "tRNA-Asp". It matches the Rfam family "tRNA". From Rfam's summary of the family: Transfer RNA (tRNA) molecules are approximately 80 nucleotides in length. Lineage: Duplodnaviria; Heunggongvirae; Uroviricota; Caudoviricetes. The record is from RNAcentral.
GGUGCAUUGGUCUAAUGGUUAGGAUACUAGACUGUCUAUCUUGGGGUACGAGUUCGAUUCUCGUAUGCGCCG